Molecule: long non-coding RNA, 481 nt
Organism: Hypomesus transpacificus
Lineage: Eukaryota; Metazoa; Chordata; Actinopteri; Osmeriformes; Osmeridae
Exons: 3
Source: RefSeq, a predicted model, not a curated record
CCCAGGCUUGUUAAAGGCCUGGGAGAAGAUCGACAGGUCUUCUGAGGAGACCUCCACCUCCCAGUCCUGCCACUCCUCCUCCUCAUCCUCCAACUCAAUUUCAUCCCCCCCUGUGCCCUCCCAAACCUUCAAAAGGUCUUCCAUCUUCAAUUCCAAUCUGGGCCGUCUUGGAAAGAAAAAACUCUCCAGCCUCCGACGAUGGUUCACAUCGAUGAGAAAGAAAACCAAGGCUGUUACUGGAAAAAAGACAAAACUAAAGACAGUUACUCCUCUCAACGGUGAAAGCCCAGAUCUUGCAGAGUCCUCCAGCAUCCCAGGAGAAGAGGAACAGAAACAGAAGAAGAAGAAGUCUAUUAAAGGCUUCUUCCGCAGGCUUCUUCCGCACCUCUCCAAGGUGUUCUGCUGUAGCUGCAUGACUCACCAAUAGAGGGAGCUGCCUGCUUACUGACCUGACUGCAGCGAGAACCUGUCACUUCCCAAU